UACGAAGGGGGCUAGCGUUGUUCGGAUUUACUGGGCGUAAAGCGCACGUAGGCGGAUCGUUAAGUCGGGGGUGAAAUCCUGGAGCUCAACUCCAGAACUGCCUUCGAUACUGGCGAUCUUGAGUCCGGAAGAGGUGAGUGGAAUUCCUGGUGUAGCGGUGAAAUGCGCAGAUAUCAGGAGGAACACCCGUGGCUAAGGCGGCUCUCUAGUACGGUACUGACGCUGAGACGCGAAAGCGUGGGGAGCGAACAGG
RNAcentral lists this ribosomal RNA (253 nucleotides) under uncultured bacterium. Its description in RNAcentral is "partial 16S ribosomal RNA". It matches the Rfam family "Bacterial small subunit ribosomal RNA", at positions 524 to 776 of the family's 1533-position model. The record is from RNAcentral.